CCGGUGGCCUAGUGGUUAGAGCGUCCGCUUUGGAUGCGGGAGGUCGUGGGUCGAGCCAUACUAAAAAGA
This is a non-coding RNA of Potamilus streckersoni, 69 nucleotides long. The record is from the annotation of a GenBank genome assembly. NCBI's taxonomy places the organism in Eukaryota, Metazoa, Mollusca, Bivalvia, Unionida, Unionidae.